RNAcentral lists this ribosomal RNA (1293 nucleotides) under Triticum aestivum (bread wheat). RNAcentral's name for it is "partial small subunit ribosomal RNA". The record is from RNAcentral. Lineage: Eukaryota; Viridiplantae; Streptophyta; Magnoliopsida; Poales; Poaceae.
AUGGCAAGCCCUAGCCGCCUCCUCCCCACACUCACACCCCCCCACCCCCGCCCACGCGUCCUCGCAGGAAACUCUGUGUGUGCGCAUCACGUUAUAGUUCAGUUUUGGAUGACUCAAACUGGAGCAAAUUGUGUGUGUAUGUAUCCAUUGUAUGCACACAUCAUGUGUUUUCCUAACUGGACAAAAGGGCUCGCUCUGCACUGCAUUGGUGAAUCUGUUGCAUCGGUUGCCAAGUCUGCUCAGGCUAGCAGCAUUGCUAUUGUUCUUGCAACCCCCGCUGGGAUCCAGGAAGGGUUCAAGCUUUGUUCUUGCAAUCACUUCUGCAGAUUCAAGGCUGAGUUGAAGAAGGUGCGCCUUAAAACAGUAGAUCUUAUUGGACUGGGUUCUGGUUCAGAGCUGGACCAUAAACUUAAGUAUGUGAAUGAUCUUUCCUCAGGCGUGAUUUUCAAGAAAGAGCUUGUCAACGCACCUACCAAUGUUCUCACCCCUGGUGUGCUUGCGGAGAAGGCAUCAAAGAUUGCUUCUGAAUACAGUGAUGUAUUCGCGACCACAAUAUUAGAUGUAGAGAAAUGUCGGGAGCUAAAGAUGGGCUCCUACUUGGGAGUUUCUGUAGCUUCUGCAAAUUCCCCUCACUUCAUCCAUUUGUGCUACAAACCCGUUGGUGACAAUGUCAAGAGAAAAAUGGUUGUUGUUGGGAAGGGUCUAACCUUUGACAGACUGGACCAGGCUGCAAUAUUGGUGAAGUUUGACAUGGGAGGCUCCGCAGCAGUAUUUGGUGCAGAAAAAGCUUUGGCCCAAAUCAAGCCUCCUGGAGUAGAGGUUCACUUUAUUGUUGCCGCCUGUGAGAAUAUGAUUCGUGGCACAGGAAUGAGACCUGGUGACAUUUUGACAGCUUCUAACGGGAAGACAAUUGAGGUAAAUAACACUGACGCUGAAGGGAGGCUUACGCUUGCUGAUGCUUUGGUCUAUGCUUGUAAUCAAGGUGUUGACAAGGUAAUAAAUUGCUUCUUUAGACAUCAUAUUCUGCUCAUACUUGAUCUAAACACUUCUGUAUUUCUUUAUAGAGGGAGUACUAACCUGGGCAUUAUCUGCUUGACCACAUCGUUGGGUCUGGCACCCUCAUUUUUUUGGUCGGCGUCCUACCUGGCAAUGAUGGAAACAGAGGUGGCACGACUCCGUGAUAUGGAUAUAAGUAUGAUAGUGUUUGAUAUGGUGGUGCUACAUAUUUCAUUUCUUGGAUCGUUGUGUCUUGCAUGUGGUAUCUUUCUGCAACUGAAUUCAUGGUGCUGCUAG